Pelobates cultripes (western spadefoot toad) is the source of this 297-nucleotide non-coding RNA. Lineage: Eukaryota; Metazoa; Chordata; Amphibia; Anura; Pelobatidae. The record is from the annotation of a GenBank genome assembly.
GGAAAUUGUAGCAGAAUAUGCAGCGUCUAGCAGUUUUGAUCCACUAAUGUUUGAAAAUGAAAAUGAAUUUAAGAAAAUGCAUAGUAUGUGGUUACAAUGCGAAAAAGAGAAUGUGAGAGUAGAUAAUAAAAAAUGGUGUUUGAAUAAGGAUAAACAGAAAAUCCAAAAUUGCAUGAAAUUGUUGCUGUUAUUAAGAAAUCAAUUAAAUCGGAUACUUCUGGGGCACACUACUGUGGCUUGUAUACAAAGUAGUACUCAGAAAUAUAGUGAUUGUCCAACUUGUGGCUUAAAUGCAGA